GUAUUGGCAAGUAAAGAAUUUAAAUUCACGUCUAGUUAGUGAUUAGUUCUCGCAGUUGAAAGAAAAACGUAAAAAUAAUUAAUAAUCAUGGAUAUUUCGGCCUUUAAAAUUUCAUCAAAUUUGACAAGUACGUAUUGUUAGUGUGAGUGACGGCUGACUGAGUAUAGCGGCACAAAUGAGAACUAUAUAUAAAUGAUUAACGCUGUCGCACCAAGAUAACCGUGAGAUGGCGUUAUUUAUUCUUUUCAAAUUGGAUAUAUCGUAGUAGAAUAUACAUGAAUCAUUUAAAAACACAUCAAAUAUGAUAUGCCUUUUAAAUAAUUUUGUAAUGGGAAAAAUAGAAAAUAGAAAUGAGGAGAAUCACUAACUUUUUAUCACGACAGAGGGCGCACUGUACCUUGGCUUGACAAAACAAACGUCAAACCGUAUGACGUAUCACUGAGUGUUUAUGUAUAUAAUAUACUUUUGUUCCAAAUGCCUCAAUGCAGUGCGUUAAAUUGUAAAAACAGAGGAAAACAUUUAUUUCCAAAGGAAAGUAAACGUAGAAAGCAAUGGGAAUCUGCGUUACGUAUAAAAAACUUCGAAGCUAGUAGCACAGCACGAUUGUGUGUUGCGCAUUUUACAGAAAAAAGAUUAUUACGGGAAAAUCAAUUAUACAGGUUAUGAGCUCCUUGCAAAAUUUCUUAAAAAGACAGCUGUGCUAUCUGUGUUCUUCUUAACGAAGAUAAAACCAGAAAAUCCAGCUGUUGUGGCACAUCAACAACGUAUUGAACGAAGAAGUCAGUCGAGUAACAAAUGUAGAUGAUUCACAACCAUCAAGUAGCAAAGUUAACCUAAUAAGUGACAGACAAUUUACUGGAAGUUGAUCAUGAAGAAGCAGUCAAAACAGAAGACAACAGUGCAGUAGGAUGUACAUAUAUUAUGCAUGAAUUUAUAUCUAAGGGCACUCAAGUUGAUCAAGAACACAAAUAUGGGUUUAUGAAUAGAUAUAAAGAUGAUAAUGCCACUAUUAAGUUUUACACAGGUUUUGAAUCAUAUAAAAAUUUAAUUUAGUCUACUCAGCUCUUAGUCCAGUGGUUCACAAAAUAAAAUAUUAUGGCAGCAAUGUGAUUAUUCUUAGCAGUGAUUCUAAUUCUAAUUUAUUAGUUGGUGCAAUACCUGGUAGCUUGCUGUUAUAUUGUUCUCAAGCAUUUGCAGGAUUGAUAAGUGAUCAGUAGGCAGUGGAACAAAGUGACCUUUUAGCAAAAUGUGAAAGUGGUAGUAUAUACUGACUGACAGAGGAUUUAUGAUACAAUAUAUAUUUCAUCAGACAAAAAUGUGACCAUUAGGAUUCCCAGUUUCUUAAAAGAAAAAUUUCAGUUGCCUGGUCUUAAUGUAAUAAAAGAUAGGGAGCUUGCAAACAAAGGAGUUCAUAUAGAAAGAAUAAUAGGAUUAACAAAGACAAACAAAAUUUAAAAAAUGAAUUAGACCAUAACUAUAUCCCAAUAGUGAGCAAAAUCUUUUUUUAUGUUUUAUGUGCUAAACAUCUACAAUUUCAGGAAUUAUACUAUUACUAUAUUGUGAAAGAUAUUAGAUAAAAAGAUGUAAUUAUUUCAAUUUAUUUAUUAAUUGUAAAUAGUUCUUAUACACAUACUUAUUUACAUUUCUGGUUCUAAAUUAUGUACAUAAAAGUUUAACAAAUUUGUCAACAUGCCAUUAAUAAAUGAGUCAUCUCUA
Long non-coding RNA from Manduca sexta (tobacco hornworm), 1716 nucleotides. RefSeq lists it as uncharacterized. The transcript has 2 exons. The record is from RefSeq and is a predicted model, not a curated record. NCBI's taxonomy places the organism in Eukaryota, Metazoa, Arthropoda, Insecta, Lepidoptera, Sphingidae.